GACGUAGGUUGCGAGCGUUAUUCGGAUUCACUAGGCGUAAAGCGUGUGUAGGUGGAUGCCUAAGUCUGACGUGAAAUCUCCCGGCUUAACUGGGAGGGGUCGUUAGAUACUGGGCGUCUUGAGUUGGGUAGGGGGAACCGGAAUUCCAGGUGUAGCGGUGAAAUGCGCAGAUAUCUGGAGGAACACCGGCGGCGAAGGCGGGUUCCUGGGCCUUAACUGACACUGAGACGCGAAAGCGUGGGGAGCAAACAGG
Molecule: ribosomal RNA, 253 nt
Filed under: uncultured bacterium
Lineage: Bacteria
Description: partial 16S ribosomal RNA
Rfam family: Bacterial small subunit ribosomal RNA
Source: RNAcentral